Molecule: non-coding RNA, 246 nt
Organism: Tinamus guttatus (white-throated tinamou)
Lineage: Eukaryota; Metazoa; Chordata; Aves; Tinamiformes; Tinamidae
Source: RefSeq, a predicted model, not a curated record
GAUGUGCGAGCCGGCUCUGCCGUGUCCUGCGGGAACCACGUGAAGGCCAGCAGCCAGUGGGUCGCCUUCAGUGCCGACACGACAGGUGUGCUGGGCAUCGUGCCACUGGAGGGCCAGAAUGGAGACAAGAGGACAGUAUCUCAGCUCUGCUGCCACUCAGAUGUGGUGACAGACUUUGACUUCUCGCCAUUCGAUCAGUUCCUGCUGGCCACGGGCUCUGCCGAUGAAACGGUGAAGGUGUGGCGG